UUCCAGUGUGGCAAUGCUGUUCCUGAAAACUGCAGAUGGAUUUUAUUUAUUCUGCAUCUCAUUUAAUUUCUGAAAAAAGGUUAACUAUGCUUUUAGUUUUGGAUCACUUGUUGUAGCAGUGAGGAUAUAUGUUGGCCAUGACUCGAAUGUCAGAUUGUCAAUCAGUUAUUAUACUACUACUAUAUUAUACUCCCUCCGUUCCUAAAUAUAAGUCUUUGAAGAUAUUUCACUAUGAACCACAUACGGAUGUACAUAGAUGCAUUUUAGAGUAUAGAUUCACUUAUUUUGCUCCGUAUGUAGUCCAUAGUGAAAUCUCUAUAAAGACUUAUAUUUAGGAACGGAGGGAGUACUACAUGUGCCUUGCAGUGCUUGCUGCAAUCUUAUUGGUUUGAAUUUUUUUUUUGCACAAUGCAAAGUUCCCCGUGUGUUUCAAAUUUGGACUUGCUCAUACAGAAUAGAUGUUAGGAACAGGAAGUCCAAUCUAUUGCUCUUUGGUUAAGCAUAAGAUGAAGUU
Molecule: long non-coding RNA, 514 nt
Filed under: Triticum aestivum (bread wheat)
Lineage: Eukaryota; Viridiplantae; Streptophyta; Magnoliopsida; Poales; Poaceae
Description: long non-coding RNA (TAES_LNC016454)
Source: RNAcentral